GUGCCAGCCGCCGCGGUAAUACAGAGGUCCCAAGCGUUGUUCGGAUUCACUGGGCGUAAAGGGUGCGUAGGUGGCUUGGAAAGUCUGAUGUGAAAUCUCGGAGCUUAACUCCGAAACGGCAUUGGAGACUACUGAGCUAGAGGAUCGGAGGGGAGACUGGAAUUCUUGGUGUAGCAGUGAAAUGCGUAGAUAUCAAGAGGAACACCAGUGGCGAAGGCGAGUCUCUGGACGAAUCCUGACACUGAGGCACGAAAGCUAGGGGAGCAAACAGGAUUAGAAACCCGCGUAGUCC
Molecule: ribosomal RNA, 292 nt
Filed under: uncultured bacterium
Lineage: Bacteria
Description: partial 16S ribosomal RNA
Rfam family: Bacterial small subunit ribosomal RNA
Source: RNAcentral